AAAUUGGAUGGGCCUGAAUCCACUUUAGAAUGCUCCUGCAGAAUAGGACAAAAUGCAAGAUCGGCGUCUCUCUAAUCCCAGGAGCAGGCAACGAUUUCUCUCCUGUGACACCAUGGGGACAAGGACGUACUAAUCAUAGUAGAAUCAGAAUCCAUAUCAAGAGGAAGAUGGGUAGCCUAAGAGCCUAUAGAAUAAAACAGCAGGACUGUUCAGCCAUUGGGACCUCCUUUUCCCUGCCUGCUCAACGCCUGGCCCACAGAGAUGCUCAGUACACAUUUGUUGGACAGAAGGAAGGGAUUACACAAGUCUAGGUUGGCUCUUGUGUGCUAGAAAAAUCUCUGAACUUCUUCAUAUUAUUUGCUAAAUGGGACAUAACUCUCUUCAGAAGGCCU
Molecule: long non-coding RNA, 392 nt
Organism: Prionailurus viverrinus (fishing cat)
Lineage: Eukaryota; Metazoa; Chordata; Mammalia; Carnivora; Felidae
Exons: 3
Source: RefSeq, a predicted model, not a curated record